This 84-nucleotide non-coding RNA is filed under the name Halalkalibacter hemicellulosilyticus. RNAcentral describes it as "Bacillus hemicellulosilyticus c-di-GMP sequence". It matches the Rfam family "c-di-GMP-I riboswitch aptamer". Rfam says of the family: GEMM was predicted in a large-scale screen for bacterial structured RNA regulatory elements. Lineage: Bacteria; Bacillati; Bacillota; Bacilli; Caryophanales; Bacillaceae. The record is from RNAcentral. RNAcentral also lists the same sequence under 1 other name.
AUUAAGAAAAGGCAAACUUGCUGAAAGGCAAGGACGCAAAGCCACAGGUCUACGGAACCAAACUAUGACGGCUGGGCUACCGAU